This is a long non-coding RNA of Pan troglodytes (chimpanzee), 5470 nucleotides long. RefSeq lists it as uncharacterized. The record is from RefSeq and is a predicted model, not a curated record. Lineage: Eukaryota; Metazoa; Chordata; Mammalia; Primates; Hominidae. The transcript has 6 exons.
GGCUGCAGACAACGAAGGGAAGCUGGGGGAGAAGGUGGCAAAGUUGCCUUGGGACACGGAGAGCCAGAUGCCCACUCCCAGCAGCCCACAGCCACAGAGCUGGAAAGGAAGGAAAGCCCAUUAGCCUGGCGCUGCUCUCACACUCGUCAAUGGACCUGGGAACACUGCAGGUCCCCACCCCAUGCUCUGAGACACAGACAAAGUGAGAACCGACAAGGUGAGAACGGGACUACCGUCGGGCUGCAGACCCGAAGCAUGUCGGCUGUGUGACCCAGACGGUCCCCUAGCCUCUCUGUGCCUCAGUCUCCCCAUGUGACAACGGAGACUGUGCCAGUUUCAAGAGCCUCCCAGGUCAUUCUGAGGAUGGAUUAAACCACACAGAGGCAAAAGUGCGUAACAAAUACAUGGAAGGUACUGGACACAUGUGAGUGGUUAGGUUACUCUGCGUGAUAGAGAAGAGGCCCCAGUGUCCAAGACGGAGGCCUGGUGAGAGGGGAGAACUGGGGUCAGGAAAAGCAAGAAAGACUUCAUCUCUGGAGGUGGGAAGGGACCCUCGGAGUCGGGUUUCUUGGAGCCAGAACUUCCAGCGACUGUGUCCUGUUACUCUGACCCGAAGGGCCAUUUGUCCACUGGAGUCUGAAGAACAAUUUCCCACAGAUGGAGAAAGGAGGCAGUCAUCGGCUGGCUGGGGGCCUGGCCAGUGUGCGGGACGUGGGAGUCCAUGGCUGCCUUCACCACCCAUCCAAUAAGCUGGUCUCUGGCAUGAUCGGCCCCAAAACCAAAAAGCAACUCUCCCCAACAGCACCCCUGGGGCUGCCGGCGCCACCAGCUCCACCUGGGGAAGCUUCCAUUUCACCGGCUGCAAAUCUCCACGUCUGCCUUAUUUUAUGCUCGAUAUAGCUGGCACUCCCCGACUCCCUCCGCCAGCUCAUGGGAAGUGUGCUGAGUCUGAGGAGCCAAUCAAUCAGUGAAACAGUAUUUACUGAGUGCCUACAGCAUGCAGUGUGCCAUGCCAGAAAAGCUACAACCACUUUAAAGACCUGUUUUCCAGGGGCCUCUGUUCUGGCUGGAUGGGAGCAAUCAAAGUGCAAAAUCUACCACUCCCAGGUGGGAUGGACUGGUGCCCAGUCAACGCUACGGGCGCUCAGAGGAGGCAAUCACUGUCGCAGUCACGGAAGCCAGUUGAAGGAGGAGCCAGACCAGCUUGAGAGCUGGGGACGACUCAUACCAGGAGGCUACGGAGGAGCGGUGAGAAAUGGUCCAAUUUGAGAUGUUUUGAAGGUGGCAUUGACAGGCCUUGCUGGGCUUUGAAGAAUGAAUAGGAUUUUGAUAAAUGGGGAACCAGAAAGGUGGGCAUGAAGAAAAAGGUAGGAACAGACACCGCCACGUAUUAUUAACCAAGAGACAGUGCAAGGAGCUGCAGGGGGUCCGAAUGAUUUACGUCCAGCAGCUGCCUGGGUCCUUCACACUGUGGAGAGUGGGCCUGUGCCUCCUGUCCCCUGGCGCAGCCCCACAUGGAACCAGGUCAGGGCUCCCAAGGAAUGGGCACACUCAGACCCACAGCAUCGCCCAGCUGGGCCAUCACAAAGCUUCGCCCGGGAACGGGGCUAGCCCCGCCUACGGCCACUAGAUGGCGCUCCAGGCUGGUUCAGAAGCUCUGGGUUCGCCGGUGAUGGCUGAAACUUUCAUCCAAAUAGUCACUCUGACUUUUCUUCAAUCUGGUCAGUUUCUAUGCUGCCGUCUCAAUUUUUCUUUCAUUAAUCAUACCAUGGAGAAUUUAUGAUCUUCAUGCUGAAGAUUUAUGGCUCUAAAAGCCAGACCCUGGAAUGAGUAAGCGGAAACCCCACUGCCGCAGGUACUCGUUGCAGGGGAGCUGCAGGGCGCCCCCACACACUGCAGCUGGAGACACGCAGGACCCCAGAGCUCAGAGCCUGGACCCUUCUCGGGCCUGGAAAAGUUCUCAAAGCACAGCCUUCUCCUGAAGCGGUUUCCCACUGUGGGUGUACCUGCAGGGGGGGGCCCCUUCCGAGCCCUCUCUCCACUUCCCUCCUGGGGGAAGUGCUGGGAUGCUCAGGUACCUCUACCUAGGAAAACCUCUUAGGUCAGAAACUCCAGGACCUGGUCACCUCUCUUCAAACUGGUUCUCUGACUUCACACUCCACAUCCUUUGAUUUGGUCUUGCCAGACCCACCUGGGAGCCUUCUACCUCUCAGGGAACACAGCUGGUGCCCUGUCCCCAAAUCUGCUUCCUUUCCCAUUUCCUGUCCAAAGUCCUCCAGGCCCCCAGGAAAGAUCUGCGGCCUACCCUACGGGGGCGCAGUCUGGACUGGAAGGCUUCCUCUCCAAGCCCUCAAACCUGUUCCUGCCUCCAUUACAGCUCCCGCCUGGCACAACUCCACCCAUGGUGCACGUCUGCCCAGUGAGGAGGCCUGUGCAGUACAGCGGGUGCCACGCACAUCCCCAUUGCCAUGCUCCCAUCCUCAAGGGGCUCCUGCCGAGAUGAGCUCUCUGCUCCCAUCUUCUGAUGGCCCAACACUAACAGAGCCUCCCGGCAAGAAGAAAACACAAAGGUCACGCCUUGAUUUUCCAGGAAGCUAAGCGGGGGGACAAGGAAGUCCCCAGUCACACUGCUGGGCUGGGACAAAACCUUGGUUUCUGGCAUUUGGUGCAGAAGCCUUCACUACCUGCUCCCAGGGGACCUCCGACUGACAGGGGACAGGCACCAAGACUGGGCCUUCGCCACAGGUCCCAUGUCCAGAUCACGGCCCCCACUGCCCUCCCUGCCCCUGGCCUCUAGUUUCCAGCCCAGCCUGCAUAGAGCUGCCUGAUUCUUUUCCUAAAAUGCCUCUCUCAUCAUGCUGCUCCCUGGUGUGACCUUAAGAUUCUUUAGCUCUCAGAGGCCCAAUUUCCUUUAAAACUUGGGAUUUGGACGAGAUCAUUUCUCAGGUCCCUCUGGCGCAGUCUUAGCCGAGUCUGAGACAUGGUGCUCUCAGCCCUCAGCCCAGUGGUUCCCAAUCAGGAGCAAUUCUGCUCCCCAGGGAACAUGUGGCAUGUCUGGGGACGUUUUUGGUUGCCACAACGGGAGGGGCUGCUCCUGGCAUCUGGUGAGUGGAGGCCAGGGAUGCUGCUGAACACCCUGCGGCGCACAGGACAGCCCACACGGUCAAGAACUGCCUGGCCCCAAUUGUCAAUAGAGUUUGAGAAACCCCGCCCCCUACCCUAUCCCCCCACGCCAGGCACCCACCCUUGGGCUGCCAACAUCUUGAGAACAGCCAUUGGAGAAAGAAUCUGAUGUGUUCCCUCCAGCGGUGGGGAAGGGAGAGCCAAUGACAGCGAUAUGCCCAAAGAUGCCAGCUGGGCGAUCUGGUCUGGGCCGUGCGCUGACUCCGGAGGAGGGAAAGGGUGCAGGCCCCCAGCACAGAGAAAAGCCUCAAGUCAUCAGGCUGUAUCAGGAUCUUCUUUGUCAUCAGGGGCCCAUCCACAAUACGCGCAGCAGCCUGACAUGCUGGCUAGUAAUGAACCUGCCUGGCUCUGGAAGAAGCCAACCUGCCAAGAACUUCAUCAUGGGGAGCAGAGACAAUACAUCGGUGCCAGGAGCGCAGCCGCUGCUUUGUAUUUCAGACACCCCUUGCCUCCAAGGGCCCCCGCAGCUCAUUCAUUCUCACAGCCAUAAAGGGAGAGGCAGGAGGGGCAGGGAAGGCAAGAGAGCAGACGAUGCCUCCAAUUCUGCAUGGAGAGAAAUGAAGGGACAAAGUCACAGACACAUCUUUGCCAAAGUCACCCAGCAGGCCUUCUUCCUCCAUGGGGAACUGGAAAAGAAGGUAGAGGCACGUUCAGAACCUCCUAGGGGGCCCGGUGUAGGGCCGAAGCUGUCAGAAGGAACAAAGCCCGAGGAACAGCCCUCAGAAGGACCACAAAAUGACGUGUGGCCGGGAUGCCAAAGAGCAGCAGAUAAUAGAGAGCACCUGCCAGCCUUGUAGAGGAGGAGUGAUCAUUCACCAGUCCAUAAACAUCGAUUCCCGCUGCCGCCGCAGCCCUACCAGGACAGGCUGCGCAGAGGGCGCUUUCAUGUACCGUGUCUCUGCAAACGGUGAUGACGAUCUUGAGUGGAGCCCAUUUUACAGGUGAAAACACUGGAGCCCUUGGAGUUGGACCCUUUUCCACGCGGUGCCUGUAACUGACUGAUGUAGUGAGCAAGAAUGUUGAGAAUUUCCUUAUUUGACCCACAAGGAUGCGGAGUUUCAGAGGAAAGCACAGAAGCCACUGAAAGGAUUUCUGCUUUUUGGAAAAGAGUAACCUGCCCAUGGGAUCCUCCAGCCAGUUAGUUACUCAGCAGGUACCUUGCACACAUCUGCCCUGAGCCCAGCACUGCGCUGGCUUCUACCACACACAAGAUCAUGAGACAGGGUCCUACCCUGGGAAUAGCCGGGCCAGCUGGACCAACACCACCAGGCUGGAGAGGUGGCUGCAGUGUGAGAUAGGACAAUGGCCAGAGCUGGAGUGUGUGGGUUAGAGACAGCCGUGGCUGACUCUGGCCUUGGGUCCAGGUAGACCCAGUUAAAGUUCCAGGUUCCCUCGUUUACCAGCCAGCAGGACCGCAGAAAACGACUUUUUCUCUGGUGCUCAUGUUUUAAAUGGGAAUUAAUGGUACCUACCACAUAGAGUCGUCGUCAGGAUUAAAUGAGGUUCGUGAAAAUAAACUUCCUAGCAUGGCGCCUUGCACACAACUAUAAAUGAAAGCCAUUAUGAGUAUUUAUGGCCUGCAGCCAUCCUUCCCCAGGUUACGGAGGCCAGCCGUGAGUCAGGAGCCUGUGGUGGAGAGAGGCAGGGAGGUCCUGCCACUGCCCGCACUGCCCCGGCCCCAGCCGGCACACAGAAGCUGCUCCUGGGCCUCCCCGAGCCCUGUCCACCCAGGCCUGCAGCAGCGUCUGCCCAGAUGGGCUCUACUCCCUCUGCCGUCCUGCCGGUCCCCAGGCACCCGUCUCCGGGAGGCGGCUUGCUUUCCCGAUUUGCAGGCGUGCUUUCUUUUGGCAGGGAGCUGCUGCCGUCUGUGCUCUGGACCGUAAAACAAGUUUUCAUCAAUAAAUUAAGAUAAGCGGAAAGCCAGCUCCAGAGGAGGCGGGUUGAGGCGGGCUGGCGGGCGGGAAGCUGUUCUGUGACCCAGAAGGGGCCGAGGCAAAUCCAAAGCAAGACUCGGUCCCCACCCCCUUCCCCAGGUCCCCUGUGCCCCAUUCGACCCAGGCCUCUCAGACAGGGGGAGGAUUGGGAGGUCACCUGCCUCCCUCUGGCCCCAUUACCUCCUCGAGGCGGGUGAGCCAAGUGUCACAGCGACAGGUACAGUCAGGCUCUCAGCAAUGCUCUGAGCCAAAGUAACGGUCCCAAGUGCUCUGCUGGGUGACCUAAAUCACUCAGACACUUGCCUGCCCAAUCACUACCUGAUAAAAACUCUGCAAAUAAAAAUGCUCCUCUC